UGAAAAUUCAAAGAAAAAGUGAAGAAAUCAAGGAAACAAGCUAGGUAAGUUAGAAUUUCUUUAGUUCUCCUUGAUACCUAGCUUACCCAUGCUUUUGUUCUUGAUUUCCAUGGUUGAAUAUUGAGUUAUUAUGAUGAAUUCAAUUAUGAAAAANNNNNNNNNNNNNNNNNNNNNNNNNNNNNNNNNNNNNNNNNNNNNNNNNNNUUGUUAGAUUAAUUUGAUUUUAAGUUAUGUUAGUGUUUUAAGUUAGUUUAGCAUAUUUAGAAACAAAACAAUAAGAAAAGAAUUUAUUUUCUCCCACAACCCUUAAUGGUCGAAUUUACCAUGUGUUGAGUGAGGAUGAAUUUGAUUUUCAUUCUAGGAGAAUUGGUUAAGAAAUGAUGAAUUAUGAGCCUAGAAAAAUAAUGAGAAUUUCAAGAGCAAAAAUACGAAUUUUUACCCACUAGGGGUAUUUUCAUAAUUUGCUACCGAGACUGAUAAAUUGAAUCUCAUUCACAGUCAUUAAGGUAAUUCAGGUAUAAUUGGAGUGUAAAAAUUUAUUUGGAGUUAAAUUGGAGAAAAUAGGCUGAAUUAGGUCAGCACCGCAUUUAAGCGGUAGUUUGAUAAGUUGUAUAUCAUAUCAUGCAUAUAUACCGAGCCUAAAUUGAUUUUAUAAUGGUCAAGCAUUGAUGUGAUGAAUUAUGUAUUGUACAUUGUGGAUAGGUGGUGAGCAAAGUACACUGGUAAAAGUACAAAAAUUGUGCUUGGAGACUGGGAUUAGGAGUACAUCGACUCCUAGAACAGUGAGUAAACUUAUUAUCGUCUUAAUUAUCUAGAGUAGUUUUAUACAAUUGUGUGAUUUUAUGAAAAAUGAGUUUAAAUGGUAAAUUGCUAUGUUUUAAGAGAAAUUGUGAUUUUAUAAAAUGAUUUUAUAAAUUUUCUGAAAAAUUGAAUACUGGUUUUGAAAUAGAGUAAUUGGAGACUGCUUGCUUGUGUUGCAAAUUUAUGAUUUUGAAUUGAAUGGCUUAUGACAAUAAAUGAGCAUGAAUGGCUAAACUAAUUUUGGUGUUAGAAUUAUUUAUACUGUGUAUUCAACCUUGAGAGGCUAGGUUGUGACAAAUUGCCAUGUCAUGCUAGAAUGAAUUUUAUUGUUUGGUGGAUUAUAUAUUAAUUAUUCAUUGUAGAGGGGGUUCCGUGGACUAGCCUAUUAGAGGGGCACGGUAAACUCCAGUAUAUUCUUACCCUGAACGGAGAGGCGCGUAGGGUAUCUCCUAGGGUAAAGCUUAGGGUUCACUUCACGCUAAACCACCACGUGAAGGGGAACUCAGCCAACGCCAAGGAACGACUGUAUUUUCUCAAACUAAAAAUAUAUUUUAAGUGUAUACGAAAUUUUAACAACCUUGGUGGGCUCGGUAGGAUGCCCUGCGCAAGGUAUCACCGAGUAUGAGUUUUGGCAUGAGCCAAAGUUUUAAAAAGUUCAUAAGCCAAGUUGAUUUCUCGAUUUAUAUGGAUUGAUUUUAUUUGGUUGAAAUGAGUUGAAAGGUAACGAAAUUAUAGUAUGAUGACUUAUUUUGAUUGUCUCAAUUUACUCGACUUUAGAUAGUUUAGAUGGUAUCUGUUUACUCACUGGGAUUUUAUAAUCUCACCACCCUCAUUUCCUCACAUUUCAG
Molecule: long non-coding RNA, 1649 nt
Filed under: Theobroma cacao (cacao)
Lineage: Eukaryota; Viridiplantae; Streptophyta; Magnoliopsida; Malvales; Malvaceae
Description: long non-coding RNA (TCAC_LNC001642)
Source: RNAcentral